AAAAAGCUUGCCCGCCUCGAUAAGCACUUACAAGAUACACAUACAAUUAUUUCAGCAGAGGAACGAGAACCUAUCAUGAAGCAGGCCAAGAGAGCAGCCAUCGUGAAAGAGCUCGGUGAACUGCGGAGGUCCCAGCCCGAUGAGCCCAUGGUAUCAACGUUGGACAUGGGGAUUACCGAUGAAUAUGAGGAUGAUUGUCUGCCUAUUGAUUUGGAACCGUCUGAGGAUUCCGUUGAUAAGGAACAUAGGCAGGAGCAAGAGGGAUCCCAGGACGAAGACACAGACAUGGACCUGGA
Long non-coding RNA from Epinephelus fuscoguttatus (brown-marbled grouper), 296 nucleotides. RefSeq lists it as uncharacterized. NCBI's taxonomy places the organism in Eukaryota, Metazoa, Chordata, Actinopteri, Perciformes, Serranidae. The transcript is spliced from 3 exons. The record is from RefSeq and is a predicted model, not a curated record.